Molecule: ribosomal RNA, 739 nt
Filed under: Puccinia caulicola
Lineage: Eukaryota; Fungi; Basidiomycota; Pucciniomycetes; Pucciniales; Pucciniaceae
Description: partial large subunit ribosomal RNA
Source: RNAcentral
UCCUGUUCAUGAUAUGGACUACCAGUGCACUAUGAUACAGUCUCUAAGAGUCGAGUUGUUUGGGAAUGCAGCUCAAAGAGGGUGGUAAAUUCCAUCUAAGGCUAAAUAUUGAUGAGAGACCGAUAGCAAACAAGUACCGUGAGGGAAAGAUGAAAAGAACUUUGGAAAGAGAGUUAACAGUGCGUGAAAUUGUUAAAAGGGAAACAAUUGAAGUUAGACUUGUUAUCACUAGUUCAUCCAAACAUGGAGAAUUCUARUGGUUAACAGACCAACAUCAGUUUUUGAGUGUUGGAGAAGGGUUUAAGGAAAUGUAGCAGUCUCUGACUGUGUUAUAGUCCUUGAGCUUUGAUAUGAUGCUUAAGACUGAGGAUUUGCAGUAAGACAAAUUUAUAAUUUGGUGGCGCAGAUUAUUGUUCUUCUUACUGAGGAUGUUGGUACAAUAGCUUUAAAUGACCCGUCUUGAAACACGGACCAAGGAGUCUAACAUGCUUGCAAGUAUUUGGGUGAUUGAAACCCUUAUGCAGAAUGAAAGUGAAUGUAAAUGGGAUCUUUGAUUGGAGCACCAUUGACCAGUCCAGAUAUAUUUAUAUGAUGGUACUGAGUAAGAGCAAGUAUGUUGGGACCCGAAAGAUGGUGAACUAUGCCUGAAUAAGGUGAAGCCAGAGGAAACUCUGGUGGAGGCUUGUAGCGGUUCUGACGUGCAAAUCGAUYGUCAAAUUUGGGUAUAGGGGCGAAAGAC